AAAAUGUGAUAGACGUAUUUUUCCUUACUGAAAUCUCGUGUUUAUUAGUGUUGAUAAAUGUGUCAGACCGUGGAAACGAGAGUAACUAAAGUUGUAGUAAACAUUGUAUCCGUAGUAAAAAGUUAUGAAUGAAAAAAGUAGUCCCGCAUUCCGAUGUCACGUGAUUGUCUCAAGCGGGAAAUGAAGUGGCCUCUAGGGUUCAUUACGCGUGUGCUACGUAUCGAAAAUAUGUCAUCACUUAUUUUAACACAUAUUGAUAAUAAAUAUUUAUACAUACUCUUAAAACUUUGGAGAUAAUGAACAUGUUAAUACGAGGUAUGAGAACAAAAAUGCUGG
Molecule: long non-coding RNA, 336 nt
Organism: Haliotis rubra (blacklip abalone)
Lineage: Eukaryota; Metazoa; Mollusca; Gastropoda; Lepetellida; Haliotidae
Exons: 3
Source: RefSeq, a predicted model, not a curated record